This 4200-nucleotide long non-coding RNA is filed under the name Homo sapiens (human). RNAcentral describes it as "HSALNT0293159". Lineage: Eukaryota; Metazoa; Chordata; Mammalia; Primates; Hominidae. The record is from RNAcentral.
UAAUAGCUAUUCCAAAUGAGGUGAGGUGGUAACUCGCUGUGGUUUUGAUUUGCAUUUCCACAAUGAUUCGGGAUGUUGAGUAUUUUUCAUGCACAUAUUAGCCAUUUGUAUGUCUUCUUUUGAGAAAUGUCUAAUCAUAUAUUUUGCUCAUUUUUAAAUCAAAUAUCUGUUGUUUGGCUAUUGAUUUUUUUGAGUUCCUUACAUAUUCUGAAUACUAACGCAUUGUCAGAUUCAGUUUGUGCAUAUUUUCUUUCAUUUUGUAGGUAGUCUCUUCGCUCUGUUGAUUGUUUUCUUUGCUCUGCAGAAGCUUUUUCGUUUGAUGUAAUCUCACUUGUCUAUUUUUACUUUGAUUGUGUUUUUGAGGUCUUAUUCAAAAAAUCUUUGCCCAAAUCAAUGUCAUGAAGCAUUCACCCUACAUUUUCUUCUAAUAGUUUUAAUAUUUUGAGUCUUACAUUUAAGUCUUUAAUCCAUUGAAAUGCUGAUGAGGAUGUGAAGAAAGGGGAAAUCUUAUACAUUGCUGGCAGGAAUGUAAAUUAGUACAGCCAUUAUGGAUAACAGUAGGGAAGUUCCUUUAAAAAGUAAAAUAACAUGGGACUACCAUAUGAUCCAACAAUACUACUACUGGGUAUAUAUCAAAGAAAAUAAAAUCAAUAUGCCAAAGAAAUAUCUCCACUCUCAGGUUUACUGCAGCGCUAUUCACAACAGCUUAGACAUGGAAUCAACACCUAAGUGUUCAUCAAUAGAUGAAUGGAUUUUUAAAAUGUGGCACAUAUACACAAUGGAAUACUAUUCAGCCAUAAAAAGAAAUGAAAACCUGUCAUUUGUGACAACAUGGAUGAAACUUAUAGACAAUGUUAAGUGAAUUAAGCCAAGCACAGAAGGACAAAUACUGCAUGAUCUCACUCCUACUGGAAAUUUUUAAAAAAUUGAUUUUUAGAAGGAGAAUAGUAAUUGCUACAGGCAGGGGAGGUAUGAGAAUAUUUUCCAUAGGGGGGAUUCCACAGUUAUUUAGUUUUUUAAUUUAAAGGACAGUGACUGUGCUGUGAUCUUGAGUGAAGAGUUUAUUCACAAAUCACUCAAUGAAAGCACAUCAGUUUGAUUGCUUGGAUUAUAAAGUACACCUCUAUUCCAAGUGGCUUAAACAAUAAAGGGGAAUCAUUGGCUCCUGUAACUUGAAGUUACAGUGGUUCAGUAAUGUCAUCAAGGACUCAAUUUCUUUCAGACUCUCUGUUGUGCCAUACAAAAAUCUGGCUUCACGCUACAUCUGGCUUCCCUGUAAGUGCUAAUAUGGCUGCCAGCAGUUGGGCAACAUGGUACAUUCCCAUCCAGCAGCACAGAGGACAUCAAAUAAAUAUCUGACUUUCCUACUAAUUGAAACACUGUGAACAGGUCCCUGUGUUCAGGGGAGUGUCAUGUUAUGACUGGUCAAGACUUAAGCUACGUGAAAUAUUGUGGAAAGAGAGAUAGGAUAGCCCUUAUUGAUUUAAACAACAGGGAGCCUACCUUUUGUGACAGAAGUGAAACUAAUAUCACCCUAAUCAAAGCUGAUACAGCAUGGGAAAGAAUGGAAUGGGUGCUGAAAAGAAGAUGAAAAUAAAGAAAUAAAAUUCACCAGUGCCAGGAUGUCUUCAUUCGGUCUACUCAUAUCUAGAAAGCAGACUCAGCAGACUCCAGUUUUCAUCCUCACAAGUGGCAGACAGGAUGAAGAUCACUAGCAUCUGAGUCCUCCUUGGAAUGAAUGGGCUCUACCACUGUUGUGGAGCUGUCAGUUAUGAUGGUAUAGGAUUGAGCUAUAUUAGGAGAAAGUAGAGAUAAAGUAAAACAGAGUAUUUUAGAGCUGCUAAAAGUUCUGAUUAUGGCCACAGAACAGAAAAACAGGUUUCAACAGGUGAAUUUUCAAAGCAGUUUGGAAAAGAAGGCAACCUCCAUUAAUCACUGGAUAUCUCUGAUUGCUUUUGAAGACCUCUCAUUUUAAAAACAUUAAUAUUCAUCCAAGAAUAUGAGAGCACAAUUGUUAAGUUGUAGCUUAGGAUUUUUCUUUUGGAGAUAGAAGUAUAUCUUGCAAGUGUGAUUACAGUUGGCUACAAAAUUUGCUUAAGCACAAAGAGAAUAGAAAAUGAAUAUAUCAAUAAUAUUUUGUAACAAUAAAAAGAAAAAUAGUAAUGGUAAAUGCUCACAUUUAACCGAGUACUUGCUGUGUAGUAGCAAAGAAAUUUACAUGUGUUUACAUAUUUGAUCCCAUAAUUCUAUGAAGCAACUGAGAUAUAGAGAACUUAAACACCUUACUUAGACUCCGGGCCAGCAAGCAAAAAGCAUAGCUGAGAGAUGCUCGCAGGCACUCUGACUUUAACACUCAUCCUCAUAAGUAUUCAUCUCUGUCUAGGAAGUCAUGUAAGAUCUUUUUCAUUAGUUGUUACAAAAUGUAUACGUAAACUGAUGAGAUUUGACUGAAAAUAUGUUUCUAUAUUCAUCAUCUUUUUUGAUCCUUCCUGUAACCCCGAAAACUUAGAUUUUAUAGGAUUGGCACAAAAUAUGGGAGGCUGAACACAGCUAAUUAACAUAGAUCACAUAUACUGGGGUUCUGGAAAAGAUCCACAUACUGAGUUUAUUUCACAGGAAUCUAGGCCCCAAGCUAUAAUAGCAUAAUUUAAUUACAUACCGUCUUCAGAGAUAUCUCCCCAAAUUUACAAAUGAGUUGCACAUUUACUGAAACCAAAAGAAUGGGAAGAAAAUGUAAGAUAAGCUAGAAUAGGGUGGGAGUAGAAUGAGAAGCAAAUUCAGGAAGCUGAAAAAAGAUAUUAAAAUAAUCACUAAAAGAAGGAUAUAGGCUUGAAUAAGGUGCUGACUCCAACUGCACUUCCUAAUAAACUCCUAGCAUUUUAAUCUCUUUCUCAGAGUUGGCUUUCACAGAAUCCAACCUGCAACACAUACCUAGAAGAAAAAGAUUAAUUGAGAAAAACAUGGCCAGGCACCGGUGGCUCAUGCCUGUAAUCCCCACACUUUGGGAGGCCAAGGCAGGAAGAUCACCUGAAGUCAGGAGUUCAAGACCAGCCUGGUCAACAUGUUGAAACCCCAUCUCCACUAAGAAUACAAAAAAUUAGCCAGGUGUGGUGGCACGUGCCUAUAAUUCCAGCUACUUGUGAGGCUGAGGCUGGAGAAUUGCUUGAACCCAGGAGGCAGAGGUUGCAGUGAGCCAAGAAAAGCAUAUAUACAUUUAAGUAAACAAAAACAUAAUAAUACAUAAAUUGUAGCUACUUGAUUCUAUUAGCUUUUCAAUUUAUGAUGUGCAUCAUACUAAAUAUUUUUCCUGUUAACACUAAAUGCUUUACAUAUUAAUACUAAACACCUUAAUUGCAUUACUUCUGAGCUUUUGUAUGUGCAUUAUACUGGACCAUUUAGUUGCAUUACCUUACUUAACCCACAUAGCAACCUUAUACGUAGGCAUCAUUAUUUAUCAGGUUUACAGAUGAAGAAAAUUAAUGCUUAGGAAGUUGAAACAACUUGUUCAAGAUCAAAUAGCCAGUAAGUGGCAGAAUCAAGAGUAAAACCAAUUAAGUUUAAUUGCAAACCCACUUAUUUCACCACUUCUAUAGGUACUAUCCCAGAUCUCAAAUCAGAAGCAGAAUCUACAAUUCUGCUUUUUUCUUUUUUUUUUUUUUCUUGGAAAGCAGGCUUUCUCCAAUUGCAAGCCCAGAAUCUACAAUUUUCCUUCUGAUUUGAGAAAUGAACCUAUAACAUGGAUACUUCCUGUGCUACAUUCCUUUCUUAAGUUGUUGGCUGAAAGUCCAGAGUUGAUUAGAACAAUUCUGGUCACACAUCUGACCAGUGGCAGAAGAUACUUGCUAAUAAGUUUUCAUAUGCUAGUCUAUUAUUUGGGUUCUUGAGCACUUUGCUUGUUUGAUGAAGAAAAGAUUUUGCAAUACACAGUUCAAUGUGUUGAAUUAUGAGUGGUCACUCUUCAGAGAGUUAAAGUUUUAGAGACAGAGAAUAUUAUUGGUUGAAGACAUAUAAAUAAAUGAUUAAUGUUGGGAGAAUACAUUGAUCAAGUUAAUCACAAGUGAAAAGAGACAAAAUUUUCUCCUUAACAUUUUCAGAUACCACUCAAGCUAAUUUUGAAAAGUUCUCAGAAAAUAUGCAUAAGGUUUGUAUGUCUGAGCAAUGUAAUCAAGAUUUAAUCAAUAAAAAUAAGCUUAGACUCAG